UCCCGCGUAAUUUAAGCAUAUUAAUAAGCGGAGGAAAAGAAACUAACUAGGAUUCCCUCAGUAGCUGCGAGCGAACAGGGAAGAGCCCAGCACCGAAUCCUGCGCGCCUCGCGCGCGUCUGGAAAUGUGGUGUUUGGGAGGGCCCACACAAUCUCGCCCGGGCGUGUCAGUCCAAGUCCAUCUUGAAAGUGGCCACAGCCCGUAGAGGGUGCCAGGCCCGUAGGACGACGCGUCGCGUUCCCGGGCGAAAGGGUCAGAGUUCAAGAGUACGUGAAACCGUUUGGGGGUAAACGGACGAAAUCUGGAAAAUCGAAGGGAGUGAUUCACGCCCGUCCGCCAUCACGUGCGUCGCGGCGGUCGCCGAUGGCGUUCGAUCGGUCCCGUCCGGCCCGCAAGGGUCGGCACGGAUCGCCGGUCCCGUCACGCGCGUGCCGUUUAGCGACCGCGGGCGCGGGCUGCACUUCACUCCUUGUAGUACGUCGCGACCCGUUGGGUGUGCGUCCAGGACCCGCGCGUGGAGCCGACGGGCGGUGGCAUUCGCGGCUCCCUCCGGGGGGUCGUGCCACCGUCCGCCGACCGCUGCGGUGCUCCGACGCACUCGCCCGACGGUAAGAGCGAAGACGAACGAGGCGAAAAGAAUCGACCCCGGUCGACGGCCCUCGGGCCCGCCUCGCGUCAGCGACGAUCCAAUCAGAGCAUCAUCCGACCCGUCUUGAAACACGGACCAAGGAGUCUAACAUGUGCGCGAGUCAUUGGGACCGCAACGAAACCUAAAGGCGUAAUGAAAGUGAAGGCCGCGGCGCGAGCCCGUGCCCACAAAGAGGGGAGAUGUCCGUCGUUCGCCUUGUCGGCGCGGACCGCAUCCCCGGGACGUCUCGUUGUCAUCGCGACACAGUAGGCGUACCCAGAGCGUACACGUUGGGACCCGAAAGAUGGUGAACUAUGCCUGGUCAGGUCGAAGUCAGCUGGCGUUCGGAAUAUACCUUUGUGUUCGUUUGAUUACGUUCACCGACCAGUCUCAUCUGGUAAAGCGAAUGAUUAGAGGCCUUGGGGCCGAAACGACCUCAACCUAUUCUCAAACUUUAAAUGGGUGAGAUACUCGACUUGCUCGAAAGAUGAAGUCGAGGCGCGCGCGUCCCUCGCAAGGGGGACGCGCGCGUGACAGUGGAUGAACGAGUGCCAAGUGGGCCAAUUUUGGUAAGCAGAACUGGUGCUGUGGGAUGAACCAAACGUCGAGUUAAGGCGCCUAAAUCGAUGCUCAUGGGAUACCAUGAAAGGCGNNNNNNNNNNNNNNNNNNNNNNNNNNNNNNNNNNNNNNNNNNNNNNNNNNGGAAUCCGUUUCCUAUUACGGAACCCGGCAGCGGAACCGACCAUGCGGGCCAAUGUCGGACGCCCGCCCUUCGUCCGCUCCGGCGGGCGAUUGCGGCGGUGUCGCACGGCAACUCGUCGGGGUAACCCAAAAGGACCCGGAGACGCCGUCGGAUGAUCGAGGCAGAGUUUUCUGUUCUGUAUGAGCGUUCGAGUUCCCUGGAAUCGCCUAGCGCGGAGAUAGGGUUUGGAACGCGAAGAGCACCGCACUUGCGGCGGUGUCUCGAUCUAUCCCUCGGACCUUGAAAAUCCGGGAGAGGGCCACGUGGAGGUGUCGCGCCGGUUCGUACCCAUAUCCGCAGCAGGUCUCCAAGGUGAGCAGCCUCUAGUCGAUAGAA
This 1706-nucleotide ribosomal RNA is filed under the name Yoraperla nigrisoma. RNAcentral describes it as "partial 28S ribosomal RNA". It matches the Rfam family "Eukaryotic large subunit ribosomal RNA", at positions 24 to 1895 of the family's 3401-position model. The record is from RNAcentral. Lineage: Eukaryota; Metazoa; Arthropoda; Insecta; Plecoptera; Peltoperlidae.